AUACGGAGGGUGCAAGCGUUAUUCGGAAUCACUGGGCGUAAAGGACGCGUAGGCGGGUUGGCAAGUCAGAUGUGAAAUCCUACAGCUUAACUGUAGAACUGCAUUUGAAACUGCUAACCUAGAGUAUGGGAGGGGGAGAUGGAAUUAGUGGUGUAGGGGUAAAAUCCGUAGAUAUCACUAGGAAUACCGAAAGCGAAGGCGAUCUCCUGGAACAUAACUGACGCUGAGGCGUGAAAGCGUGGGGAGCAAACAGGAUUAGAAACCCUAGUAGUCC
Molecule: ribosomal RNA, 274 nt
Filed under: uncultured bacterium
Lineage: Bacteria
Description: partial 16S ribosomal RNA
Rfam family: Bacterial small subunit ribosomal RNA
Source: RNAcentral